GAUGAAGAACGUAGUGAAAUGCGAUAAGUAAUGCGAAUUGCAGAAUUUCCGUGAGUCAUCGAAUCUUUGAACGCAUAUUGCGCCCUUUGGUAUUCCGAAGGGCAUGCCUGUUCGAGCGUCAUUAUCACCCCUCAAGCUCCCGCUUGGUGUUGGACCUUUUUUUUUCGUCGAGGGGCCUUUUCGCCUAUCGACGGGUCUCAAAGAUAGUGACGGCGUCUCAGAGGGAACCGGUACGAGGAGCUUCUUUCGUUAAGCAUGUACCUGGGAAGACUCUGUGGGCGACGGUCGUUUUAAUACUUCUAUUUCAAGUGUUGACCUCGGAUCAGGUAGGAAUACCCGCUGAACUUAAGCAUAUCAAUAAGCGGAGGA
This 369-nucleotide unclassified non-coding RNA is filed under the name soil metagenome. RNAcentral's name for it is "partial contains 5.8S ribosomal RNA, internal transcribed spacer 2, and large subunit ribosomal RNA". The stretch from base 1 to 121 matches the Rfam family "5.8S ribosomal RNA", at positions 35 to 154 of the family's 154-position model. The record is from RNAcentral.